UACGGGAGUGGCAAGCGUUAUCCGGAAUUAUUGGGCGUAAAGCGUCCGCAGGCGGUCUUGUAAGUCUGUUGUUAAAGCGUGGAGCUUAACUCCAUUUCAGCAAUGGAAACUGCAAGACUAGAGUGUGGUAGGGGCAGAGGGAAUUCCCGGUGUAGCGGUGAAAUGCGUAGAUAUCGGGAAGAACACCAGUGGCGAAGGCGCUCUGCUGGGCCAUAACUGACGCUCAUGGACGAAAGCCAGGGGAGCGAAAGGGAUUAGAUACCCCUGUAGUCCUGGCCGUAAACGAUGAACACUAGGUGUCGGGGGAAUCGACCCCCUCGGUGUCGUAGCCAACGCGUUAAGUGUUCCGCCUGGGGAGUACGCACGCAAGUGUGAAACUCAAAGGAAUUGACGGGGGCCCGCACAAGCGGUGGAGUAUGUGGUUUAAUUCGAUGCAACGCGAAGAACCUUACCAGGGUUUGACAUCCUGCGAAUCUUUUGGAAACGAGAGAGUGCCUUCGGGAACGCAGUGACAGGUGGUGCAUGGCUGUCGUCAGCUCGUGUCGUGAGAUGUUGGGUUAAGUCCCGCAACGAGCGCAACCCACGUCGUUAGUUGCCAGCAUUUAGUUGGGCACUCUAGCGAGACCGCCGGUGAUAAACCGGAGGAAGGUGUGGAUGACGUCAAGUCAUCAUGCCCCUUACAUCCUGGGCUACACACGUACUACAAUGCUACGGACAAAGGGCAGCAAACUCGCGAGAGCUAGCAAAUCCCAUAAACCGUGGCUCAGUUCAGAUCGUAGGCUGCAACUCGCCUACGUGAAGGAGGAAUCGCUAGUAAUCGCAGGUCAGCAUACUGCGGUGAAUACGUUCCCGGGCCU
This 857-nucleotide ribosomal RNA is filed under the name uncultured bacterium. Its description in RNAcentral is "SSU rRNA". It matches the Rfam family "Bacterial small subunit ribosomal RNA", at positions 524 to 1381 of the family's 1533-position model. The record is from RNAcentral.